GAUGAACGCUGGCGGCGUGCCUAAUACAUGCAAGUCGAGCGAACGGACGAGAAGCUUGCUUCUCUGAUGUUAGCGGCGGACGGGUGAGUAACACGUGGAUAACCUACCUAUAAGACUGGGAUAACUUCGGGAAACCGGAGCUAAUACCGGAUAAUAUUUUGAACCGCAUGGUUCAAAAGUGAAAGACGGUCUUGCUGUCACUUAUAGAUGGAUCCGCGCUGCAUUAGCUAGUUGGUAAGGUAACGGGUUACCAAGGCAACGAUGCAUAGCCGACCUGAGAGGGUGAUCGGCCACACUGGAACUGAGACACGGUCCAGACUCCUACGGGAGGCAGCAGUAGGGAAUCUGCCGCAAUGGGCGAAAGCCUGACGGAGCAACGCCGCGUGAGUGAUGAAGGUCUUCGGAUCGUAAAACUCUGUUAUUAGGGAAGAACAUAUGUGUAAGUAACUGAGCACAUCUUGACGGUACCUAAUCAGAAAGCAACGGCUAACUACGUG
This 497-nucleotide ribosomal RNA is filed under the name uncultured bacterium. RNAcentral describes it as "partial 16S ribosomal RNA". It matches the Rfam family "Bacterial small subunit ribosomal RNA", at positions 28 to 507 of the family's 1533-position model. The record is from RNAcentral.